GUUUUCAUUUCGUCAAGUUUUAAAAUAGAUCCUUGCAAAGCACGGGUUCUUGCUAGUUAUGUCACAUAACAGUGCUAAUGUGUUCAUUUAAUUGACUUUAAAUGGAAAAUAAAAGUUUUGAUCAAAAUGGUAACCUGUUGUGCAUUUGGAUAUACAAACAGAAGUUCAAAGAAGACUCCAGGAGUGACUUUUCACAGAUAAUAAUUAAUAAAUUUAACAAUUUGUUCACUCUUGUUAAGGUUAACCUGUAGAUAGAUAGAUAGGCCUAGAUAAAUGUCUUUUAUUCACACUUAGAUUGAUAGAUGAAUAAUUCAAUGGUUCAGUUCAAACAUACAAUACAAAUUAAAUACAAUAAAUAGAAGUCCAUCCAAAUAAUUCAAAAGUAACCCAAUAAAAAAUUCUUAUGCAUGGCCUAAGGUGAAAACAUCUUAAUCUUAUUGUAGGCACUUUUCGAAUAGAUUAAAAAUAAUGAUCACAAAUUCCAUUCCCGAAAAAAAGUUCAGUAAGGAACACUAAGUAUAAUAGUAGAAAGGAACACUAAAAUACUUUUAUCUAGAAUAGUCUGCCAAAAAUUGAAUGUCUGUAACAAUUGUUAUUUGUUGUUUAAUAUACAGAAAUAUAUUCAUGUAAUUGGAUUAAUAUUGUAUGCAAAACUCAUCUACUACUAUAUUCAGCCCAUUAAGAAAUAUUAAGUUCUGUGUUACAGUAUUGGUACUAUAUCAUUGAUAGUUAUAUUAUUUCUACUAAAUUCCCAUUCUCUGUUUAUCAAUCAUUUUUGACAUGAUUUUACCAAUAAUAUCUAUUCAGAGAAUCAGGUUAUUCACUGUGCAUGAAUUUAGUCUGACAUUACAGAGAGCUUCAGUAUCUAGUUAUAGCAUUAUAGAAAACGAAUGAUAAACAUAAUGGGCUGAAUAAACAGUAAUCAACUGAAAAGUGAAAGCUUUGUUUCAAGUGGAGCCAUUGGCAUGUUGAGAGGUAAUUUUAUAUGGAGUAUUGUGGUAGCACUGUGUGCGUAUACUAGCGCUUGAUGUGCCUGGAAAAAGAGUUGCUAUGGCGUUCAUGUGUUGUGAUUGUUUUCUUCUCAGUUGUGGUCCAAUAAAAUAUAAAGUGAAA
Long non-coding RNA from Nilaparvata lugens (brown planthopper), 1113 nucleotides. RefSeq lists it as uncharacterized. The transcript is spliced from 2 exons. Lineage: Eukaryota; Metazoa; Arthropoda; Insecta; Hemiptera; Delphacidae. The record is from RefSeq and is a predicted model, not a curated record.